RNAcentral lists this transfer RNA (73 nucleotides) under Camelus bactrianus (Bactrian camel). It matches the Rfam family "tRNA". Rfam says of the family: Transfer RNA (tRNA) molecules are approximately 80 nucleotides in length. Their secondary structure includes four short double-helical elements and three loops (D, anti-codon, and T loops). RNAcentral also lists the same sequence under 3 other names. Lineage: Eukaryota; Metazoa; Chordata; Mammalia; Artiodactyla; Camelidae. The record is from Rfam by way of RNAcentral.
GAAGGUACAGCUCAAGUGGUAAAGCACAUGCUUAGCAUGCAUGAGGUCCUGGGUUCAAUCCCCAGUACCUCCU